UACAGAGGUCUCAAGCGUUGUUCGGAUUCAUUGGGCGUAAAGGGUGCGUAGGCGGCGCGGUAAGUCGGGUGUGAAAUCUCGGAGCUUAACUUGGGAACUGCCGUUGAUACUAUCAGUCUUGAAUACCGUGGAGGUGAGCGGAAUAUGUCAUGUAGCGGUGAAAUGCUUAGAUAUGACAUAGAACACCAAUUGCGAAGGCAGCUCGCUACACGAAUAUUGACUCUGAGGCACGAAAGCGUGGGGAUCAAACAGG
Molecule: ribosomal RNA, 253 nt
Filed under: uncultured bacterium
Lineage: Bacteria
Description: partial 16S ribosomal RNA
Rfam family: Bacterial small subunit ribosomal RNA
Source: RNAcentral